RNAcentral lists this unclassified non-coding RNA (520 nucleotides) under uncultured Glomus. Its description in RNAcentral is "SSU rRNA". It matches the Rfam family "Eukaryotic small subunit ribosomal RNA", at positions 569 to 1088 of the family's 1831-position model. The record is from RNAcentral. Lineage: Eukaryota; Fungi; Glomeromycota; Glomeromycetes; Glomerales; Glomeraceae.
AGCAGCCGCGGUAAUUCCAGCUCCAAUAGCGUAUAUUAAAGUUGUUGCAGUUAAAAAGCUCGUAGUUGAAUUUCGAGAUCAAAUUGUUGGUCGUGCCUUGGUACGCACUGGCAUUAUUGGUUUCUCCCUUCUGACGAAUCAUGAUGUCAUUAAUUUGGUGUCUUGGGGAAUCAGGACUGUUACUUUGAAAAAAAUUUAGAGUGUUUAAAGCAGGCUUACGCUUGAAUACAUUAGCAUGGAAUAAUGAAAUAGGACGUUUGAUUCUAUUUUGUUGGUUUCUAGGAUCGACGUAAUGAUUAAUAGGGAUAGUUGGGGGCAUUAGUAUUCAAUUGUCAGAGGUGAAAUUCUUGGAUUUAUUGAAGACUAACUACUGCGAAAGCAUUUGCCAAGGAUGUUUUCAUUAAUCAAGAACGAAAGUUAGGGGAUCGAAGACGAUCAGAUACCGUCGUAGUCUUAACCAUAAACUAUGCCGACUAGGGAUCGGAUGAUGUUAAUUUUUUUAAUGACUCAUUCGGCGCCU